UCGGAUUACUGGGCGUAAGCGUGCGCAGGCGGUUUUGUAAGACAGGCGUGAAAUCCCCGGGCUCAACCUGGGAACUGCGUUUGUGACUGCAAGGCUAGAGUACGGCAGAGGGGGGUGGAAUUCCACGUGUAGCAGUGAAAUGCGUAGAGAUGUGGAGGAACACCAAUGGCGAAGGCAGCCCCCUGGGUCGAUACUGACGCUCAUGCACGAAAGCGUGGGUAGCAAACAGGAUUAGAUACCCUGGUAGUCCACGCCCUAAACGAUGUCAACUAGGUGUUGGGAGGGUAAAACCUUUUAGUGC
This 301-nucleotide ribosomal RNA is filed under the name uncultured bacterium. RNAcentral describes it as "bacterial SSU rRNA". It matches the Rfam family "Bacterial small subunit ribosomal RNA", at positions 548 to 846 of the family's 1533-position model. The record is from RNAcentral.